GAGUGAUCGAGCUGAAUGAACGGAACUUAAGAGAAUGGCCGAAGUGAAUGAAACGGGACUUGAAUGCUCAAGACUUUGGAAUGUGCUCCUCUUCGAUGAUGGCAGAUGCGGAAUUGCCCCGGAUAACUGGAUAUCGAUUAACAGAACUACCUGCUCAUAUCCAAAGUUUAACUCCUUCACUUUGAACAGGUUAAUCCAAAUUCAGCCCCCGUCAAAGAGGAUUGGCCGAAGUUUACAAUUCGAAAAUUUUAUGCCGAAAAAAUUAGUUCCUUCGAAACAGCAAAACAAAAGCUAGAGGCCGUUGACUCAGAAGCCAGUGACUAUGAGCAAUCAACAUCAGUUUCAUCGAGGGCAGCAAAUAGCCCCUCUCUCUCAUCCGUCUCUGCCAAUGCAGGUCCCUUAAAUCACCAACCAGAGGACCCUCCUCUCCCACUCAGCCCUGCCAAUGCAGAUCCCUCAAAUCAACAACUAAGGGACCCUCCUCUCCCACUCAUGCCUGCCAAUGCAGGUUCCUCAAAUCAACAACUUAGGGACCCUCCUCGCCCACUCAGCCCUGCCAAUGCAGGUCCCUCAAAUCAACAACUUGAGAAUCCCAAUCGGCCUGAACAGCUUCAUGCAAACAAUAAUCAGCCUCCUAUUAAUCAACAACUUGAGAAUCCCAAUCGGCCUGAACAGCUUCAUGCAAACAAUAAUCAGCCUCCUAUUAAUCAACAACUUGAGAAUCCCAAUCGGCCUGAACAGCUUCAUGCAAACAAUAAUCAGCCUCCUAUUAAUCAAGAGAAUCCACAGAAUCAAGAAGAUCAAAUUGCAGAACAGUUACAGAAUCGUAACCAAGGACACGGUCUUGAUAAUCCAUGGCCUAUUCAAGGUGAAGCCGAAGGACAGAUGCGUGAUAGUGUUCUGCGGCGCCUUUAUGCAUUAAAUAUCCAGCAAUUUUCCCGGUUGGAGCAGUUGUUGAGACAGCCGGCAGACAAUUCAGCAACACCCCCACCCCAAAUUCCGAACACCGAGCCGGAGACUCUCAUGUCAAAAUGCCCUUUAAGAAGUGUUGCUGAUUUCAGAAAAUUUGAAAAGAUUUCAAAAGCAAGGCUAAACGUAACCUAAUGAGACAAGAGCUGAAGCUGCACAUGUCUGACAGUCCCAAAUCAUCAUGCCGUUCCAUUGCAGCACUAAUUUUUGCUGACGAACUUGCCGAACACUUUACCUGGAAGGGUCGCUCAUCAAGAAACCAAGCCAUGAAAAAAGAAAGAUUUAUGGACACGAGAUUAUACAACCUCAUUUAUCAAGCUAUCAACUUGUGUUUCCCUACCGAGAAAAUGACUGCUGAAGUAUAUAAGAAAAACCUUCAGAAUUUCUUUAUUCAAGCCAAAUUUCGUAUACUAAGAAAGUAAGUCAUAUUAGCCACACUCACUUCUGUAUUAGUUUUCUUAUUAAAAUCAAUUUGUUUAGGUCUCAUUGCUAUAGAUGUGAAGAAUGCAAAUCAUCAUUUUGACCUGAGGUUUGCACCAAAUAUUCUUUCUUAACUAUCUUUUGGAUGAGCUGCCAUAAAGAAAGAGUUGCAAUUUAAAGAAAAAAGUUGCCCCCCACCUCCUUUAGGAACGGCCACUUUUCAGAAUUUUUGGGGGGCCAAAAAGUUGCCACUUUCGACCCAGGAACAUCUCCAAAGUUUCAAGCUGCUAGGACACUCAGAAAAAAAGUUACAGGGGUGGUCAGUGACUUUUGGAAAAACCUGUACUCUACUCCACUUAAAAAUAAACAUUUUAUUUAAGGAAAUAUGGCAACUCUCAAAUGUUAGUAAGGCGUUUUUCCUUAGUCUGGUAGAAUAUUAGUAAAAUCACAAAUUAAUCAUCACUGAGUUUGGACUUUUGAAGGCUCAGAGAUGAUAAGCAAAAUAAAUUUUACAUUAAGCUGAUCAAUGCAUUGUGCAUGAAAACCAAAAUUUUGACCUAUUAAUAAAUUUGAUUUUAACUAUUAUCCUUGUUUGUUCCUUCUGUUUUCUUCAUAUUAGACAAGAAAGAGCAGCAGCUAGGGUAGCCAGACGUCAAGCAGCUGCAAGUUUGGAAGCGGGAGAAUCGUCCGAAUCGGAACCUGAAAGCGACUAAGUAUCUAGAUCGAAACUUUGUAGCCUUCUUUUGUAUUCUUUUCUUUUUUAUCUAAACAUCCAUUUUUUGACUGUAUCUUGACCUACCUACAUCGAGAAGUUGCAUUUGUAAAACUGACACUUCUUUUAGUGUUGUGGGGCAUGAACAAGUUUUUAAACAAAAUUAAAGCCUGUUAAUCUUAGCUACACAGCCAGAAAUAAAAACGUCCACUGUGAUUGUCAAAAAUGCUCAAAAAGGAAGAAGACAAAUUUAUUUCAAAUUAAGGAAAGUAUUUAAAAAAAACUUCUUUCUCCCUAUUUUUUCCUUGAUUACUUUUAACAAGCACAAAAGUGUUUUCCAUAUUGCUUUUUACACAGAGGAGAUUAGUACCCUUCAUUCUUGUUCAGAAACUUGUUCAUGUCUCAAAAGUGCAGCUUUAAAAGCUACUGGUUCUUGUGCUUAUGAUGAAGGAGGGUCCUUAAUGAAUUUUUUUAUUAAAUUUCCUCUUGGAGCACUUAAAAAGUGUAAGUUUUACUUAUGGUCAUUUUCCAUUCUAGAGUGUUUAAGCUUUGACCCAAGUCUCUAAGGGAUGUAAGUCAACGUCAAUGGCUAGAAAGCAAUAAUGAAAGCCUUAAAUGCGGUUUUUCUUUAUGGGCCCUUUUUUGGAGAGGUCUUAAAUUUAUAUUCCUAACUCUUAACUUAAAGUUACUAAAAAUACUUAAUUCUAGGUACCUUUAAAGUGUGAUAUGUACUGAAGUAAACUUUAUUAAUACGUAAAACGUAUGUACGUACGUAAGUGUUACGUAUUUUACUUAAAUGUUACGUAUUUUACUUUAAUGUUACGUAUUUUACGUAAAAUUUGCAAUACUUGAGUCAGGUUUUUUGUUACCUAAUACUUACCUAAAAUUUCUUUGUAAUAUUUGAGUCAAGUUUUUCUGUUACCAAAUGGUUGUUUGUUGACUCGUAUGUUAAGUGUAAUGUGCCUAAAUCAUUCCCUGAACCAAGUACAAUUUUUUGCCCCUGUCUUUUUUUCAAGUAGUAUUGAAUAUAUAUUUAAUGGCCUCGUACUCCCAACACCUCAAUUAAUUCUAAUUAAAUUGAUGUAUAUGUAUUAAACUACAUGUCACCUUCUGGCGAAAGUAUCACAAGUGCCAUUCAACGUUUCAAAAUUUCCGCCGCCAUUUUAUUUUUUAAUAGAGAAAAUGUUGGUUGAAUCUGUUAGAAAAUUUCAGUGAAUUUUCGUCGUGCUGCCGAUGAAAUUAAGUGAAAUUUUCAAACGGAUUCAACGAACAAUUUCUCUGUUAAAAUAAAAUGUCAGCGGAAAUUUUGAAACGUCGCAUGGCGCUUGUGAUACUUCGGCCUGGAGCUGACAACAUGAUGUUUUCAAAUUUCACAAUUCUAUUUGUAAAUUUGCAUUACCAUCUCUUGAAAACAUAAUGUAGUUUAAUACAAUUUGAUACAGUAAUUAUUAUUAUUAUUUUUUUUUUACUUUUAACUCAAUUUAUACCUACUCCAAUUUAUUUGUAUCCAUUGCUUAGCCAGGCAAAUUUGGCAUCAUAGUGUAUUAAUUCUUAAUUUUCUAUUGAUAUUUCUGCACUGACUUUCUUUUCAAUAGUUGCCUCACUUUCUGAGGUUAUUAACUUCAGACAUUCUUCUGCGAAAAAGGCAUGCAGCCAUCGCUAUAUUCAAUUCAUCGUAUUGUUAAAUCAUUGUAUUGAUCGUAUGUGAUCUAUUGCUUAAUAACCAUUGCUUAGCCAGCCAAAUUUGGCAUCAUAGUGUAUUAGUUCUAAAUUUAAUUUUUGAAUAUUUCUGCACUGGCCUUCUUUUCAACAGUAAUAGUGUUGCCUCACUUUUUGAGUUUAUUAGUUUCAGACAUUUUCAUGCCGAAGGGCAUGCAGCCAUCUCUAUAUUCAAUUCAUCGUAUUGUUGGAUCAUUGUAUUAAUCGUAUGUAAUCUAUUGCUCAGUAUCCAUUGCUUCGCUAGCCAAACUUGGCAUCAUAGUGUAUUAAUUCUAAUUUUGUUUUUUGAGUAUUUCUUUACUGGCCUUCAUUUCAACAGUACUCGAGAUGCCUCCUUUUCUGAGUUUAUUAGUUUCAGACAUUUUUAUGCCGAAAAGGCAUGCAGCCAUCUAUAUAUUCAAUUCAUUGUAUUGUUGAAUCUUUUUAUUAAUUGUAUGUGAUCUAUUGCUCUCAUUUUUUAUUAAUGUUUUCUCUUGUCCAAUGUAACUUUGAAUGUGUUCUCUUUAUAGUGAGUCAUAAUUUAAUUUUUUUUUUUUUUUUUAAAGUUAAGAAUAUUUUUCUCAUCAUUUUAUUUUUUGGAUUUAUUAUUUCAUACAUAUUUUUCUUGUUUAUUUCUGUUUAUAGUAAUAGGAUCUAUUUCAAUAAAUGGAUUUAUUUUUUCAAUAUUUUUUUUCUCUUUCCAAUCUAAUAACUAUCACUAUGCUAUGAGCUUCUUAGCUUUUCCUCCCAACUCUUAAUUUAAUUUUCUCAAAUAUUUUUGAUUUUCAAUUUC
Molecule: long non-coding RNA, 4592 nt
Filed under: Bemisia tabaci
Lineage: Eukaryota; Metazoa; Arthropoda; Insecta; Hemiptera; Aleyrodidae
Description: lncRNA ENSSSA2NGG001144
Source: RNAcentral